AUAUACUGUAUAGUAAAUAGAUAAUGAAUAAGGCGAUAAAAACAUUUUUCAUGAUGAUUUCUUUACUAAAGUGAGGACUUGCAAAUUCUAUAUAAUAUUCUCAAAAUGACUAGGAAUCAGGAGUGAAAAUUUCUUAUGGAAACCAUAAUGUACUAAUAUCCAGUUUUAAUAUAGAUUUGUUACUGUGUUUGAACACACAUAUAGAACUUUGUAUUGAGAGGAGUAGAAAGACAUAAUCUAAAAUGUUGUCAGUGUCAUAAGUUUUAUGGCAGUGCUUCCCUCUUGAUCAAGCACGUACUUAUUUCUAAAUCCUUGGCAAGCAUUAUCAUGACAUGAGAGAGUGCUUGUAUUUCAAAUGGUAAGUGAAAGGAUAAGACAAAACUCAAAGUAGCCUCUGAUUGGAAUAUAUGUAUCCUGACAUGUGGGGCAUUGUAUAGCAUAGAAGAGCUAUGUGGACCUUCUCUGGGCCCCAGUUAAAUGGCUGCCAACAAUUCAACACAUAGAACCUACCUCUUUACCUAGAAAAUGUAGGAAAAUUCCUUGAGAGCCAUAGAGGUGAGCCAAGCUAGGACAUAUGGAUGUGUAGAGAUGCCCUCUUGGUUGGAUUUUCCUCAUUUUAUUUUUCUGUUUAAUGUUGGAUACUUGAGACUUACCUCCAGAAGUAGACACCUUGAUAACUUGGAAAAAUGCUGGAGAUGUAGUGCUGAGUGAACAAAAACAAAAACUGUGAAGACUAGGCCUAGUGGAAUUUGAAUUCUUGCAAAGAGAAGAUGCCUGAUGAGGAUGGGUAGCUUUAGGCCUCAUUUUGGUUUCCAGUGAAAAACCAAGGCAAAUGUACAGCUGUGUGAGCAGGUUCUUUCAAGCUGGACAAGAUAAAAGGCAGCCAUAUUUCCUGGUACCUUUGCCUCUCUUUUCUUCCAGCAGGAUGGGAGGUUGAAGAGGGCUGGGGGUGGGGCGGGGAGGAAAAUACUUGUUAGCAUAACUGGUGCACUACUGCCACCAUGAGGAAAUAGUUUAAAAUCUGCCUAUGCCGGCAUUGCUUUGUCUCCAAGAGGACUUUCGGUCCGUUUGGUGGAAGGGCUAAGCAGGUUCUGGUCCCAAUCUGGGCCUGCCUGGCUUCUCUGAGUUAUUAUUAUAGAAACUCUGGCUAAAGAUCUGAUGCUGGUAUGACGAAGUUGAGGUCUAGCUGUAGAGGGUGGCUGGUGGGUGGGGUUGGCCGGACUGAGCCAUCAGCUGAUAGGAAGUCCCUACACUGGAAGUUGUGUGAUGAAAAUAUUCAGUAGUUAAACACAGAUGAAUCCACAUAUAAAGACACCUCGAUGGUCAAAGUCCUGAAACCGCAGAUAAAGACAAAAUCUAGAGGACAGCUGGAUACAAAAGACAAAAUAUAUUCACUGGCAAGGAACAAAUAUAAGAUUUAUAGCAGACUCUCUAAACAUUACUCAAGCUAUAAGGAAAUAGACUGGAUCUUAACGGCAUUGAAAACAAAACAAAUAAAAUGAUCAACACAGAAUUUUAUACCAUCAAAAAUGUCUUUCAAAACAAGGAAAAAUACUUUUUCAGACCAACAAAACUAAGAGAAUUCAUUAUCAGCAGACCUUCACUAUAAUAAAUAUUAAAGAAAACUCUUUAGGCAGAAGGAAUGUGGUAUCAGACAGACACCUGGGAUUGACACAGAGAAUUAGAGAUCUCUAGAAAUUGUUAAAAUGAAAGUAAAAACACAAGACAGUUCUCAUUUUUAAUUGUUUUAAAAUAUAUUUGACCAUCUAUUAGAAAAAUAGUAGCGUAUUUCAGAAGUAUAAUGACAGUACAAAAGAUGGAAGGUAAAAACAUAUUAUCAUAAGGUUCUUACACUACAUGAGAAGAAAUGUAUUAUUAAUUACAUGCAGACUUUUUUUUUCAUAUGGAAGUUCCCAAACUAGGGGUCAAAUCAGCUACAGCUGCCAGCCUAUGUGGGAUCCGAGCCACGUCUACAACCUAUACCACACCUCAUGGCAACACUGGAUCCCUGACCCACUGACGGAGGCCAGGGACCAAACCUGCAUCCCUCUGUAUCCUAGUAGGAUUUCUUUCUGCUGCACCACAAUGGGAACUUCAUGUAGAUUUUUUAAACCUUAGGUCAACCACAUACAAAUUUAAAAAGAAUUAUAACUGAUGAACUAAUAGUGAUAAAACUGGAAUCAUAAAAAAUACUCAGUUGAUCCACUAAAAUUCAUGAAAAAGAACAAGUAGAAAACAACCAGCAAAAUUUAAAUGCUACCAUAUUAAUAAUUGUAAUAAAUGUAAAUGAUCUAACAGUCUUUUGAAAAGACAGAGAUUUUCAGAUUGUAUUAAUAAAAGUAAGAACCAAGUAUAUUCCGGCUAUAGGAAAUCCACUUUAAAUAUAAAGAUAUUGAUAUAUUUAAAAUGAUAGGUAAUAUAUACCAAGCAAACACUAAUCAAAAGAAAGCCAUGGUGCCUCUCUUAAUCUCUAAAGAGAGCUCUGAUGGUGAAAACUACACAGCAAAACAUCGAAGAAUUAUAUUGGAAAAGACCAACUUUAAGGAAGAAGAGAGCUUUAAAAAAUAAUUGUUAUCAAUAUCACCAGAUAGGCAAGAGAUGAUAUUGCAACCGUGAUAGAAGAAAAGGAUACAGUGUAAAAGAACACAACGAUUAAAAGUAGCAUAGCAGAAAUACAAAGCUCGUAAAAGAGGUUGGAAAAAGACUGUACUUGUAAUUUUAAAAAUUGAAAAAAACUAAGAAAAUUAGGGUUCAUCUGGAAAUGUCAUUUAUUAUCUGAAUAAUAGUUGCCAGCAAUUUAACAGAAAUAUAAAAUGAUAUUCCAUUUUUGAAAGGGACUACCAAGUUAUCAGCGUAGUAGAUCAAAAGAGACCUACGUGAGGACAUAUUAUGAAAUUUCAGGACACCGUAAUAGGGAAGAGCAUAUAACUACCAUAAAAGUAUGAAGAAUCAGAAUGACUUUGAACUGCUGAACAUCAACACAGGAAACCAGAAUUCUGUGAAACAGUGUCUUCAAAAUACUGAGAAAAAAUUAUUUCCAACUCAAGAUAGCUGAGUCAAAAACAGUCUUCCACCAAACACAAAAAUAUUAUUAUUAGUGUGUUAUAGAAAAUUGAAUGGAGACGCCUUAGGAAUCAAGGAAGCCCAUGAGGAUAAGUGACUCAAGAUGGCCUCCUGCAGGCCUUCCAGCAUUGCAGGAACAUCCAGCAUUUUCUUCCUUUUAAUCCUGGUAUCCUGAGACUAGUCCCUACAAGACUUCUUGAUAGUUAGGAAAAUGCUGGAGAACUCAUUCUGAGUGAAGAAGAGCUAAACUAUGAAGCCAAGAUCUGGUGGAAAGUUAAUGGUGGACAAAAGAAGGUGCCUGAGGAGUUCUUUGGUGGUGCAGUCAGUUUGAUCAUUGACCCUGGAACUUCCAUGUGCCAUAGGCAUGGGGUGGGGGGUGGGGAGAGAAAGGAAGGAAGGAAAGAAAGAAAAGAGAAAGAAGAAAAGAUGGCUGAAUGCCUGGAAGACAGGAGUAGUUUAGGCUUCAGUUUGAUUAUAGAUGGAUAUGGGAGGCAAAAUUGCUGUAGUGUGAGCUGGUUUCCUCAAACUCAGCACUAGCACCUCGGCCUUUUGUUAGCGUUUUUUCAGACAAGUUGGGCGGGAGACGAGGCCCCUGAGUCAGGGCUGGUUGACAUUUUUGGAGCACUACUGCCAUCGUGAGGAAAUCAUUUGGUGAAGCGCUAAGUCAUUGGUCUUGCCGCCCAGGAGACCGCGGGGGAGGUUGUGCAUCUCCUAGCUCCAAACAUUGCAUCCUUGCUUUCCUCUCUGAGCUUUCCAGGAUACUUUAACAAAGGCAAGAUAUAAUUGUAAAAGCUGGCUAGUGAGUAGCCAGGACCAGAUGGGCAACAGCCAGGAAGUCAGGCACAGGAAGUUGGGGAAGUGGAACUCCGCCCAAUGCAGACCAGACUGGAGGAAGUGAUUCGUAACCCAAGUGCAGAGCUUAUGAUCUUUUUGCAUCCUCCUGUCCUUUGAGCAAGAGGCAGACACUCUGAGAGAAAGUACUUGGCACUGUGGGACCUUAGCCCCAUUUGGCAACAGUGUCAUAACUCAGAGUGCAAGGGAAAAAAUUUCAUUGUGUAUCAUAGAGGAUAUAUUGAAGAGUAUAUUUGGAGCUGUAAGCAGUAAUUGAUCAUCAGCAAAGUGCAGUUGGCUCUUAGGAAUGUCUUGAAGACAUUUGGCAGAGCAUGCCUCAGAGAACCCAAGUGCCUAGUGAAGGUGAAAGGUAACUGCUGACCUGAAAUUAUUUCUGCUAAAACACACCAAGAGAAAGUUUGGACCAAAUGUGCUGGGGUGCCUGUCUUGGAGAAGCGCUUUAACUUGGCUUCACAUUUCAGUGGAAUAGACAAGUGUAUGGAGAAUUGUGAACAAACUAGAGGUGACCUCAGCUCUGGAAUUCCUUAAGCUCGAGAAUGUUGUAUUCACCUCACCCCAGUUAUCCUUAACAGAAGCCAAAUAGACUGAGAGAGGAUAGAAGCCUAAGGUAAUAGCUCCUAGCUGAAUUUCAGUGUUUCAGUUAUAGUAAUGGAAACAGCAAAAACUGGAAACUAAGAACAACAAUUGUCAAUGUUUACUGCCCUUCAACCAUUGACAUCCAUUACAGAUCAUUAGCUGUCCCAAAAUGAAAAGCAAAAGGAAAACAAGAUAGCAGGAAAGGGGAAAAAAGAAUGGGGCAUGAACUUCCCAGAAGAAAAAGGCCAUGGAUCAGAAAAGUCUAUUGGCAGAGGUUCUCAAAUUCCCCAAUAAGUAAGUAAAUUAUGGUUCAAGUAAUUCUCAACUAUCCACUACUCCCACCUAAUAUAUCCUGAGUGAGCUGCUGAAAACGAAGCCAUCAAUAUUGCCCAGUUUAUGUGAUUAUUUGUAGAAACAGACAAGUUCCUAUGAAUCGCUAGGCAUUAUCAAUUUCUUUAAUAUUUCUGAGGGCAAUUUAUGUGCAUCAGUUAACCUUUCACAUGACCAUAUCCUUCCUCCAGAGACUCUACCCAUAGGAAAGAUUAGGGAUAGUAGAUUUCAUUGAGCUUUUCUUUUGC
This 5069-nucleotide long non-coding RNA is filed under the name Sus scrofa (pig). RNAcentral's name for it is "lncRNA (ENSSSCG00000053325.1)". The record is from RNAcentral. Lineage: Eukaryota; Metazoa; Chordata; Mammalia; Artiodactyla; Suidae.